CUAUACAUGCAGUCGAACGAGUUCUGAUUAUUGAAAGGUGCUUGCAUCUUGAUUUAAUUUUGAACGAGUGGCGGACGGGUGAGUAACACGUGGGUAACCUGCCCUUAAGUGGGGGAUAACAUUUGGAAACAGAUGCUAAUACCGCAUAAAUCCAAGAACCGCAUGGUUCUUGGCUGAAAGAUGGCGUAAGCUAUCGCUUUUGGAUGGACCCGCGGCGUAUUAGCUAGUUGGUGAGGUAACGGCUCACCAAGGCAAUGAUACGUAGCCGAACUGAGAGGUUGAUCGGCCACAUUGGGACUGAGACACGGCCCAAACUCCUACGGGAGGCAGCAGUAGGGAAUCUUCCACAAUGGACGCAAGUCUGAUGGAGCAACGCCGCGUGAGUGAAGAAGGCUUUCGGGUCGUAAAACUCUGUUGUUGGAGAAGAAUGGUCGGCAGAGUAACUGUUGUCGGCGUGACGGUAUCCAACCAGAAAGCCACGGCUAACUACGUGCCAGCAGCCGCGGUAAUACGUAGGUGGCAAGCGUUAUCCGGAUUUAUUGGGCGUAAAGCGAGCGCAGGCGGUUUUUUAAGUCUGAUGUGAAAGCCCUCGGCUUAACCGAGGAAGUGCAUCGGAAACUGGGAAACUUGAGUGCAGAAGAGGACAGUGGAACUUCCAUGUGUAGCGGUGAAAUGCGUAGAUAUAUGGAAGAACACCAGUGGCGAAGGCGGCUGUCUGGUCUGUAACUGACGCUGAGGCUCGAAAGCAUGGGUAGCGAACAGGAUUAGAUACCCUGGUAGUCCAUGCCGUAAACGAUGAAUGCUAGGUGUUGGAGGGUUUCCGCCCUUCAGUGCCGCAGCUAACGCAUUAAGCAUUCCGCCUGGGGAGUACGACCGCAAGGUUGAAACUCAAAGGAAUUGACGGGGGCCCGCACAAGCGGUGGAGCAUGUGGUUUAAUUCGAAGCAACGCGAAGAACCUUACCAGGUCUUGACAUCUUUUGAUCACCUGAGAGAUCAGGUUUCCCCUUCGGGGGCAAAAUGACAGGUGGUGCAUGGUUGUCGUCAGCUCGUGUCGUGAGAUGUUGGGUUAAGUCCCGCAACGAGCGCAACCCUUAUGACUAGUUGCCAGCAUUUAGUUGGGCACUCUAGUAAGACUGCCGGUGACAAACCGGAGGAAGGUGGGGAUGACGUCAAAUCAUCAUGCCCCUUAUGACCUGGGCUACACACGUGCUACAAUGGAUGGUACAACGAGUUGCGAGACCGCGAGGUCAAGCUAAUCUCUUAAAGCCAUUCUCAGUUCGGACUGUAGGCUGCAACUCGCCUACACGAAGUCGGAAUCGCUAGUAAUCGCGGAUCAGCACGCCGCGGUGAAUACGUUCCCGGGCCUUGUACACACCGCCCGUCACACCAUGAGAGUUUGUAACACCCGAAGCCGGUGGCGUAACCCUUUUAGGGAGCGAGCCGUCUAAGGUGGGACAAAUGAUUAGGGUGAAGUCGUA
RNAcentral lists this ribosomal RNA (1479 nucleotides) under Lacticaseibacillus rhamnosus. RNAcentral describes it as "bacterial SSU rRNA". It matches the Rfam family "Bacterial small subunit ribosomal RNA". Lineage: Bacteria; Bacillati; Bacillota; Bacilli; Lactobacillales; Lactobacillaceae. The record is from RNAcentral.